Molecule: ribosomal RNA, 233 nt
Filed under: uncultured bacterium
Lineage: Bacteria
Description: partial 16S ribosomal RNA
Rfam family: Bacterial small subunit ribosomal RNA
Source: RNAcentral
GAUCCUGGCUCAGGAUGAACGCUAGCUACAGGCUUAACACAUGCAAGUCGAGGGGAAACGACAUCGAAAGCUUGCUUUUGAUGGGCGUCGACCGGCGCACGGGUGAGUAACGCGUAUCCAACCUGCCCAUCACUUGGGGAUAACCUUGCGAAAGUAAGACUAAUACCCAAUGACGUCUCUAGAAGACAUCUGAAAGAGAUUAAAGAUUUAUCGGUGAUGGAAUGGGGAUGCGU